Strigops habroptila (Kakapo) is the source of this 4534-nucleotide long non-coding RNA. RefSeq lists it as uncharacterized. Lineage: Eukaryota; Metazoa; Chordata; Aves; Psittaciformes; Psittacidae. The transcript has 4 exons. The record is from RefSeq and is a predicted model, not a curated record.
CUCAGGUGUCGGCGGGCGCGCGGCGUGCUCGUGGCCGCAGCCUGGUGGUCGCGCACCGGUUCUGGUCACUGCGGCGCGCCGCCGGCGCAGCGCCCGAGAGCAGCGUGGCGGUGCGCAGGGUCCGCGUCCCGGCAGCGGCGGCAGCAGGUGAGAUCCGAGCCCACGGCGGAUCCGGGUCCAUCGGGGAGGCGAGCGAGCCCGCCCGCCCAUCCUUCCCUUCGGCGGGCACAGAGGGGCGUCUCCUGCCCGCUGGGCGCCCGGCGUGGGGAGCUUCACACCGCUGGUGCGGCAGUGUUGCGGUUUGCCGGAGACGAGCCGGGUCAGGAGCCCCCAGUGUGCUUGAUUCUCCCUUAAUCUCACUUGAUUAAUCUCGGAGGCUCCUGCCCCCGGCAUCCUGCGCCCUGCCACUGUGCUUGGCUCUCCCUUUGCCCUGGUUUCAGCUGUAGCAGAGUUAAUUCUCUUCCUGCGAUCUGGUGCAGUGCUAUGUUUCGGCUUUACUCUGAGAAUAACGCUGGUAACGCACCGAUGUUUCAGCUGUUGCUCAGUCACGCUUACCCCGAGCAAGCACUUUUCGGUCCCUCGUGCUCUGCCAGUGAGGAGGGGCACAAGGAGGGAGCAGAGACAGGACACAGGACCUGAACAAGCCAAAGGCGUAUUCGAUACAUCCCACAGCACUUCGUGUUCAGUAUAGAAACUGGGGGGAGUUACCCGGAGGGUCCUUAAUUCACCUUGCAUUUUCAUUCAUAGGGAAAGGAGCCAACUUUAGAAACAAGCCAAGGAAUUUCCUAUUUCUCGCUUCCAUUCUAAAAUUGCACUUAUUUUGGAAAUGAGACUGUGUACUGUAGCUUUAAGAUGCUGAAAGGUCUGGAGACUGAAAUUCUCUCUACAUGAAAUCAGUUAGGUCUGCAGCAGCAGCAGGGCUAAUUGCCCUCCUUUUGUUCUGCAAAUAGACCUUGAUGUGUUGUGCCUUGGUGGACCCCAGCUAAUCACAGCUUUUCUGUUGAGACUGUCAGCAAGGAUUUCAGUUGCUGUUGCUGCUUUCCUGCUUUCCCCCGGUUUGGACACCUGUCUUGCUACAAUGAAGUCAUUAGGUUUCUUCAUAAAAGCUUACUAUUCUAGAUGCAGAGACACUGUUGUGAGGUAGCUGAUCCAGAUGGCGAUCUGUGUUGCAAGGUGCUUGUAGCAGGAGGCACAUUGAGUUACCAGACUGGGUGGCUUUAGGGCUUCUCUAGUUUAUGCCAAGUCAUUUCAAGUCUCAGUCUGUUGAGACCAGGCAAAAUCUUUAUUUGCUCUGCUGCUCAUUUGCCCUGGUCAUCGAGCUGAAGGCUUUAGAUCUAGGAGCAGUUGAUCUAAGGCUUGUUCACAUAAUUUUAUGCCAUGAAAAUUAUGCUGUUUAAAAAUUAAACGGACUUUAUCUCAUUAAAACUCUACAAAUGCCCUUUAAAUCCUAGUGCUUGUAAUGUAUGAGGUAGCUAUGGAUGGCCCAGUACCCAGCCUAUGCGUACAGCACCCUUCAGUACGAAAUAUAUAUGACCUUAUUGGUCACUCCGUACGGCUGAAAAUGAGUGUAGUGUCACAGGAAGUUAUUUGAGAAUGAAUUGAAAAUGUUCCAGGACUUGUUUCUGGGGAAAUCUCUCGUUUCUAGAUUGUCCUGGUGCUCUGUGGCCAGGCUCCUGGCUGUGUGUUGUCUGUGCAGGUGUCUAGCAGGCUCCUUGCUUCAUCACGGAGUCACGUUCUGCACUGAAGUGACUUAGUUACUGUUGUAGCUCAGCACAGGCCCUCGCUAAUGGCUGCAGUCACUGUGAGUGCUGGUUUUCAUACAUACUUUUUUUGCAGGGGAUUGCCUCUUCUAUGAAACACUUGCAUGGGAUUUCUACAUUAAAAAAAUACACAACUGUUUUGAUUUCCCCUUUAUUUGCCUGUGAUGACCAGGAAGAAGAAGAAGAAUGCCUAGGAGAGACAGGUAAAGAAGAGCAGGGGGAAGAAACAAGACCAGAAAAGCAGUGCAGAAGAUGCCAGUGAAGAGCAGGGAGAAGAGAAGCAGCAGCCUCCAGCAGGUCAGGCAAGAAACUGCCCCUCCCAGAGCAGAGUCCCAGAAAAAGGAAGAAGGCGGGAAGUUGGAGUCUCGGGAUCACAAAGGAAAUAGAGAAACUGCGAAAGAGGAAGAACCAUCCAAAAGUUCCGGUGACAGCACAGUUACCGAAAUGGAGGAAGGGAAGAAGAUCAAAGCACCCAAGAAGCAGAAGCUUGUCCAGGAGAUCCCCAUGGAACUAGGUGUAAAUGAUGUGCCUGACCUGCUGGAGGACGAACUGAAGAGCUUGAUGAAAAAGGAUGUUUGAAAUGGCUCUGCUGGGUUAAAGCUUCAGACUCGCAGACUUAACGAUCAGAGAUCUAGAGAAACAGGAAAGAGAGAAGUCCGCCAACAGCUUGGGAGUCAUUCAUCUUUGAGACCCAGGAGAAGCUUUGUCAAGAGGAGCAUAGGUUCGUCUCAUCAGGGGAGCAGAGAGAAGACAUUUCCAGAAAGCUUAGCGAGGCUUCCAGCUGGAUGGAGGAGGAGGGCUCUGCAGCUGCAACUAAGAUACUGCUGUGUGUAUUCAGGAUACCAGGUGCUGUCCUUUACAUGGAAAUGACCGCACGGGCUGACUGAGGAUCGAUCCACCUCGAUCCUUUGUAAUCUCGUUUUUUGCAAGUCUCCCGCUUCUCUAGCAUUUUGCACAGAAUAAAACACAAAGUUCUUGCAGUUGUGGAUGAGCAGCUUGAGCAGUAACUGCAGAAGUAACUCCCUGUCCUGCCGCCCAUCCUUCUCCACCUUUUUCUUUUACCCCCAUCUCUGUCCCACUCCCUAUCUUUCACUUUGUCCUGCCUCCCUGUGCAUUUUUUAAUCUCUCUGUAUCGCCGUGUCCUGGUCCUUGUCUCUGUCUUUCUUUUCCUUCUGCCCUGAUACUUCUUUCCACCUCUGUCCUGCUCACUCUCCCUCUGUCCUGCUUCCUGCCCGCGUUACUUCUGUCUCUCCUUCUCUGCCUGCUGCCUGUCCCCUCAUUCCUUGUUAUGCCUCCCCAUCCAGCUGCCUCUCCCUUUUUCCCUUUCUCUCCUCCUGUGUCCUGCUCCCUGGCCUCUUUUCUCUCUUCCUCCAUCUCUGUUCUCUGGCCCAUUUCUGGUUUUAGGUUUUUUUCCUUCUUGGUCACUUACAGAUCUGACCCUUUCUUUAUUUCUUGAUCUGUUUGUCCUCUUCCCUCUCUCCUUUUUCUCUCUCUCUCUGCAUGCCCUGUGCCCCGCCACUUUCCUCGUCUCUCCGUUCUUCUUCCUCUCCUUUCCCGCCCCCACCUCUUUAUACCCAUGUGCUGCACCCUCCGUUUUCUUGCUCCGUCUCUUUCUUUCACUGACCGUACCAAAGAUGGUGCAAAAUACUUUUUUCCUCUGCUCAAAAUACUUUUUCCCUCUCCCAGUCGUAGCUUUCACAAAAAAAGGAAGCUUUAGACUCUGUCGUGGUUUAAGCCCAGCCAGCAACCCAGAACCACGCAGCAGCUCACACACUCCGUCCCUUCUUCCUCCCCCGCCCCGCUCCCGGAGUGGUGGGGAGGAGAAUCAUAAGAAUGUAAAUCCCACAGAUUGAGAUAAGAACAGUCCAGUAACUAAGGUACAAUACAAAACUACUACUGCUACCACCAAUAACAAGAAUGAUAAGGGAAAUAACAAGGGGAAAGAAUAUAAAAUUAAAAGGGGAAAAGGAAAAGAAAACAAUAAACACAAGUGAUGCACAAUGCAGUCGCUCACCACCCACCGACGAAUACGCAGCCCGACCUGAGCAGCAAUCUGGGCCUUCCAGGUAACUCCCCCUCAGUUUCUAUACUGGGCAUGACGUGCUGUGGUAUGGGUUACCCCUUUGGCCACUUUGGGUCAGGUGUCCUGUCUCUGCUUUCUCCCAGUUUCCCGUGCCCCUCCUCACUGGCAGAGCAUGAGACUGAAAAAGUCCUUGAUCAGAGUAAGCAUUACUUAGCAACAACUAAAAGCAUCGGUGUGUUAUCAGCGUUGUUCUCAGACUGAAGUCGAAAAUGCAGCACUGCAGCAGCUACUAAGAAGGAAAAAAAUAACUGUUACAGCUGAACCCAGGACAGGCUCCCACCCAGCUUGAUGGUAAAGGUUUUGGUUUUGGGGUACUUUUUCCCUCUCCCAGCUGGAUGUCAACUGCCACCGUUUCACCACAGUCACUCUUUCUUUUGCCAUGGAAGGACAAAACUGAGGGAAGAAUCCGUUGUGGUCUGCGAUGCAAGGUAUGUCUAUGAUGUGUGUCUGCGCUUUUCCUAAGAUGCUUGUAGCAUGGGCUUUAAAGAUAAAAGAACGUGCCCACUCUCCUCCUCUGUUUUUUUCUAUGAAAGAUUUAAAGACAAAUAUUUAACAUAAGGUCUGUUGCGGAGUGUGUUGCGCCUCUGCAAAGCUUCUUUUAGUUUUCUCUUCCUGAAAGAAGUGUCUGUGCAGUUAACUGUCAAAUGAUAGCGAGAAAAUAGUUUUGCAAUAAAAGAGGAAAGGAACUGUU